CUUAUGCGUACAGACUAGCUACUAUAAUCUAGGUUAACUAUUAAUAAUAUUGUGUUUCUAAAUCCAUUGUAUUUCUACUUGUAGAGCUUAUAAAUAUAGUGACUAGUGUUAUUAUUAUCAGGCCUAGUCAUGCAAUAAUAAUAAUAACAGAUGACCGGUCUAUAUUAUUAUAGUGCCAAUUUCGACUAUAGAGCACGAGAGUUCGACAUAGCGUGACAAUCGCUUGUAUGUAGCCAUUGCACGCACGCUUUUGUAGAUAGUUACAGCCUAUAGGACAAGGAUAGGUUUGAGAAUGACUUUGAGAUAAAGUCGAAAUAUUUAAUAGCAAGCCAAUAAUGGCUACUAGCUCGAAUGAGUCCGUAUUCAGUGAGAUACAAUUUGAGUAAAAUUCGAAGUUCACUAGCUUUGAAUUUUUCUUCUUGAAAACUUUUAUCCAUCUUUAUAACUUCGAUUUACGGUUUAUUGGUUAAUAAUUAAAAACGGCAAAACGUUUACGUGUUCUGUAUAGAAUUUACUUUACAUUGGCAUUGCGAAACAGACAGCGUGUGUAAUUUAUGCGAAUUAAUUAUAACACUUAGUUACCGCAUGUAGGAGCACGGAUACGGAUACGGACAGGGGGAUAAAACACGGAUAGGGGGAUAAAACACGCGGAUGGGGGGAUAAAACACGCGGAUGGGGAGAUAAAACACGCGGAUGGGGAGAUAAAACACGGAUGGGGGAUAAAACACGGAUAGGGGGAUAAAACACGGAUAGAGGGAUAAAACACGGAUAGGGGGAUAAAACACGCGGAUGGGGG
Molecule: non-coding RNA, 796 nt
Organism: Paramuricea clavata
Lineage: Eukaryota; Metazoa; Cnidaria; Anthozoa; Malacalcyonacea; Plexauridae
Source: the annotation of a GenBank genome assembly